Molecule: non-coding RNA, 112 nt
Organism: Aedes aegypti (yellow fever mosquito)
Lineage: Eukaryota; Metazoa; Arthropoda; Insecta; Diptera; Culicidae
Source: Rfam
UGCUCAGCAACUCCUAUCCCUACCUCCUCGCGGCACUGACAGGGGUACGAGGAAACCUAAGGAAGAUCGGGCAACCCCGGUGGGAACUUUUGUCGUACGCUGGCAGGGAAGG